ACCUGCGGGGGACGACAGGGAAGGGCUGGUGAGCGGAAGGCAGGCAGAGCAUCCCCCCGACUGCUUCACUCAGAGCUCUGCUGCCUCUGGGGACGCUGAUCCGCGUUUUGCCAAGAGGAUCCAAAAAGUCAGAGACGGGGUCUUGCAAUGUUGCCCAGGCUGGUCUCAAACUCCAGGCUUCAAGUGAUCCUCCUGCCUCAGCCUCCUAAAGCGUUGGGAUUACAGAUGUGAGCCACUGCACCUGGCCAAUAUUUUGCUCUUAAUAAAAUAAAACAAAAAUUUCACUCUAUCUAAUGGGCUACGGCUGGGCUUCUCUUUCUGAUAGGAGGUUCCAGAGCUGAGCUGUACUCCCGAAUAUCACAGCCACGAGCCACGUAUGGCUGCUGAGCACUUAAAAUGGCAUUAGCCCAAAUUCAACCAGUCUGCAGGUGAAAACACACAACCUAUCUGAAGGCUGAAUAUGAAAAAAAAGCAGGUAGAAUAUCUCAAUAAUUUUUAUAUUGAUUACAUGUCGAAAUGAUUAAUAGUUUGGCUAUACUGAGUUAAACAAAAUACAUUAUUAAAAUUAAUUUUACUUUUA
Long non-coding RNA from Pan troglodytes (chimpanzee), 580 nucleotides. RefSeq lists it as uncharacterized. The record is from RefSeq and is a predicted model, not a curated record. Lineage: Eukaryota; Metazoa; Chordata; Mammalia; Primates; Hominidae. The transcript is spliced from 2 exons.